RNA transcript from Notothenia coriiceps (black rockcod), 2160 nucleotides. It is a transcript of the gene named ataxin 10, with no coding region annotated. The transcript has 12 exons. The record is from RefSeq and is a predicted model, not a curated record. NCBI's taxonomy places the organism in Eukaryota, Metazoa, Chordata, Actinopteri, Perciformes, Nototheniidae.
GAUGUCCCGCCCACACGAAUGAAUUAGCAGGCAAACAUGGCAGCUACUACCGACAACAUGGACAUCUCAGCGUCUAUUGCUGGCAUUUUGAAGGAAGAACACUGCCCUGAACACUUGCAGGUUUUAAAAACAUUCACCACCGCGUUACGUGACAAGGAAUACAGAGAUGCUGUGAAGGAGGAGGUGUUGUCCAGUCUUCUUCAGGUUUUAUCCAGACUGUGCGAUGAGCUCCAUGCUGUCAGCUGUGACGAUCAGGACCUGCAGUCUGUCGCCCUGCAGCUGCAGCUGACCGCCGAGUGCUUCAGGGCUCAGAGGAACACCUGUGUCGAGAGCGACCGCAACCAGAGUCUGCUCAGGGAGCUUGGCUUCAUUGAUGUAUCCCUUAAACUCCUAGACUUUCUUCAGACCAGACAUUCGGAGAGUAGAGAUGGCAUAUUUGAACCGCUUCGUUGUGGGAUCCAGUUCCUCGGUAACUUGUCGGUUGGAAACCAAAUAUGUAAAGAUGACAUCUGGCGGCUGAGCUUCCCUAAUCUCCUCAUGCAGCUGCUCAGUGUUGGCGAUGAGAAGACGGUAAACUACGCCUCCAUGGUGCUCCACACAUGUCUGGAUGAAGCCAAGGUGGAGGAGCUGUCUGAUCUGCAGAACAUCCAGCUGGCACUCAGGGUGAUGGAGCUCUGCAGGACCCAUCCUGACCUGGACUGGACGGUUCUCAUUGCUACCCAGUUUUUCCUCAAGUCUUCAGCUCUGGUGGAGAGCAUGUACUCUGGGAUGUCUCACCAUGAAAGACUUACUCUAUUAGAGCUGCUCUUCGCUCAGCUACAAGAGGAGGACUCAGAGGAGUGUGGCAUCCCCCCCGAUGUGGCUCGCUUCGUGGCCACUUCCUUCGUGAAAGGUUGUGGGGCCGUGCUGACGCUCGCAACUGGCUCUGCCUCCAGUGAUGAGGUCCUGCAGGAGGCGAUGACAGUGAUCAGUCUGCUGGACGUGCUGUGUGAGAUGACCUCAGACCACAAGCAGUUCAAGUUCCUCCAGGAACAUCCCGACCUUCUAGUAACAACUGUUGAGCUCCUGAAGCAGGUGCAUACUAUAGGGAAGGCUAGUAAGAAUGUUUUCAGCGCUGCUCAGAACUUCUCCUCCCUCGGUGGAGAUGGAGACCCCUCCUCCCAUUCUCCAGUCAUCAGCUUCAAGGCCCACCUCAUCAGGCUGAUAGGAAACCUCUGUUACAGCAACACAGACAACCAGAACAAGGUGAGUGAACUGGAAGGCAUCCCCCUCAUCUUGGACAACUGCAACAUAGACAGCAACAACCCAUUCAUCAGCCAGUGGGCCAUCUUUGCCGUCAGGAACCUCCUAGAACACAACAAGAAGAACCAGGAGCAGGUGGCGGCUCUGGAGCGCCGUGGCACCACCGACUACUCCGCGCUCAAGGAGUUGGGCUUCGAGGUGGAGCAGCGAGACGGAGGCUUGCUGCUCAAAACUGUGAGGAAAGACUCUUGAAAAGCUUUGAAGAUCAACCCGGAGAGAUGAGGCCCUCCCCCCGCAAGCAGGUUCCAAAAACAGAUUCUGGUAGGUGAGAGCUUGCUGAAAGUGAUUUAAUGAGCGAGUGAGAGAAUCACACCAGAGGCUUUAGUGCGCAGGAUGACAUCCCUCCCUGCUCCUCGCGGCUGCCGGAUAAGCUGAACUGUCCUGACACCUCAACAAUGCAGCGAUUUACUGGGCUGCUCACGCCCUGCUCCACCUUGUUUGCUCUGCCUCUGAUUUUUAAUGACAAAAUGUAUUGGAAACAAUCGGCUCGACUCGCCCCUCAAUCCACGGGCAUAGUGAAGGGAGCUUACGCGGUUCCGGUCCCCAGGAUUUCAGACGGCUAACAAAACAGCUGUUACUCGCGCUCCGCUGGCUGGCUGCAAUGCUUUUCAGCCCCACAGGAAAGAGUCAGCCGGGGCUCAAUGAGGUGGCAUGGCCGCUGCCGCCUGUUCACCUCCUGACACAUUAGUACCACAUCAGUCAAGGCUACAAGUUCUUGUGUUUCCCAUAUCAGCGUUUUAUGCCACAAGGGCUCCACUACAAUGUGCCUUCUGGUUCGGUAAAACAAUUGUCAGGGUGAAUGCUUUGUGUCUGGGUCAAAUCAUGUGUUGAUAUAAUGCUUAAUAAAGUAUUGUGUGA